Long non-coding RNA from Felis catus (domestic cat), 3934 nucleotides. RefSeq lists it as uncharacterized. The transcript has 2 exons. The record is from RefSeq and is a predicted model, not a curated record. NCBI's taxonomy places the organism in Eukaryota, Metazoa, Chordata, Mammalia, Carnivora, Felidae.
CUGGCCCAACCGCGGAAACUGGCAGACCCGCCGCGGGACGGCCGAGUGCCCGGACCCGAGGGAGGGGCCCCCGACCGGACCCCGGCGUGAGCGAGUCGGGGAGGACGCGCAGACUGUUCUCAGCAAAGCGGUGUUUGGAGACAAAGCUGAAGGAAGAGGAAAGACCAGACCCUGAGGAAAGUAAAUAUUAUACUAUGGAGUUUGGGGCUUUCAUCUUCCAGGCCAGAAAUCACAAUGUGGCAGAAUGUGGGCCACACAUAGCACAAGACUGUUUGGCUUUAGCCUUGUGUGUGUGUGUGUGUGUGUGUGUGUGUGUGUGUGUGUGCGCGCGCGCGCGCGGUGCACUCCUGUGCACAUUGUAUGUUUCUCAAAUUGAAUUAGUUAACUAUUCAAAAUAUGGCAGCUUUCGUGUAUAAAUCCAAAUUUUCUUUUCUUGAGAUAGUGAAAGAUUUAACAAUGCGGGGAUCCCCACCUCAAAACAUUCAAAGGCAUCACCAUGUGCCACACUCAGUCCUUUACUCACUGUCUUUAGAUGCUUGUGUUUUUUUCAUCCCUGUUUUUUAAGGUGGAAAACCUGAAGCAUCUUAAUCUAGGAAGUGAUACUGUCUUUGCAUUUUACAAUAUUUUUUUGCAUUAUUCUAGAACUAGUGCAAAAGUAUCCACGUGGAUAAAUCUCACAAAUAUAAGAUGCAGCAUAAAUAAAUAAGUAAAUAAAUUGCUGAAGAAUAUAUACAGUUUGAUACUAUUUUAAUGAAAGUUUUAACAUGAAACAGUCUUAUAUUAUUGAAGAACACAUGCAUAAGUAAUAAAGGGAUGAAAUAAUGUGUGGGAACACUAGUUACUGAGUUUGAGAGGCAGGUUGCCCUUGCCGAGGGAGGCUAGGGCUGCCAUAACUGGGUAGCUUAGAUUUUUAUUUUCCCACAGUUCUGGAGGCUAGAAAUCCAAGAUCAAGGUGCUGGCCAAUUCAGUUUCUGGUGAGAACUCUCCCUAGCUUGUGGACAGCUACCUUCUCAUUGUGUCCUCACAUGGCCUUUCCUCCCUGCUUAUGUCCAAGGAGAGUGACAGAACUCUCUAGUAACUUUUCUUCUAAAGUCUCUAAUCCUGUCAGUUCGGAGUCUGACCCCAAUGACCUCAUUUAACUUUUAAUUACUUCCAUAAAGGCCUUAUCUCCAAAUACAGUCACAAUGAGGUUAGGGCUUCAACAUAUGAAUGGGGAAGGAGUGAGGAGGGGGAGACACAUUCAGCCCAUAACACUGUCCCAUGAAGGGACACACACAGCACACUCUUGACCCAGCAAUGAAAAUGCAUAUGUGCAAUGUUUUUGCCCGGGGAAGACUUUCAGAGACUCAGUGAGCAAUGUUUCUACCGGCGGCUAGUCAUGUAAGCACCCUUUGCUUAACACCUACCAAAACUCCAGCUACCCAGAAGAAAAGCAAGUGUUCAGCAAUAAACCACAUUAUUUGCAUAGUCUGAGUACAGUGGGCCACCCUUAUCAGUGGAAGGCAGUAGGAAUGUUUCCAAAAUCCAGCCAAGGGCGAACUUUGCAAUCAGGCCUUUCUAAAGAAAGUCACCUCAGGGGUGCCUGGGUGGCUCACUCGGUUGAGCGUCUGACUCUUGAUUUUGGCUCAGGUCAUGGCCCUAGAGUUGUAGGAUUGAGCCCUAAGUUGGGCUGUCUGCAGUGCCUCCUUGGGAUUCUCUCUUCUUCCUCUCUAUCUGCCCUUCCCCCACUCAUACUCUCUCUCCCAAAGUAAAAACAAACUUUAAAAAAAUGAAUAAAGAUAGUCACAUGAGGCUUGCUGUGUCAACUCUCCUCUGCACACUUACCAAUGACCUCCUCAGCUCUGCUGUAUCUCUCCCACCUUCUGGUUAACAACUGCUAAGAUACCCAAUUGCUAAGCACUAAAACUGGUAUAGUAACUGUCUAUAGAUUGUUUCUAGGUUUUAAUACCAUUGCCAAUCAAAGCCAAUCAUAGUAUACUUUAUGACCUGAAAGGCCCUUACAAUCCAUAACAUGUUCUCUCCCAAGGUAAUAAUUGAUGAUAUCUUUCUAAAUUAAUUAUGUAUCAUACUUCAGGAGAGGAUCUCACCCUCUUCCAUCCCUGGGUGCUGAUUAACAUAGCAAGCAAGCUCUUCAGUCUUGUUACCAUAGCAAAGAUAGUUUGGUGACCAUCUUAAUCCAACAACGGAGUUGGAAACACUUAAAGCAUAGUCAAGAAUGUUUCUAAAAAAAAUAAAAAAGAAUGUUUCUAGUGCAUAUCCUACUGCCUAUAAUAAAAUCCUGGCAAAACUAAAGCUAGAAAAGAGAACAGAACCAAAGCUUCUUUGAGCAUUUCCAAAUGCUUUAUAUAAAAUUGCCCUAACAAUGGGAUAUGAAUGUGUUUUGGUACUUGUGUGUUCAUAUUUUUUUAAGUAUAUUUAUUUAAUUUGAGAGAGAGAGAAAAAGAGUGUACACAAGCAGGCAAGGGGCAGAGAGAGAGGGGGAGAGAGAAUCUCAAGCAGGCCCCACGCUGUCAGAGCAGAGCAUGACACGAGGCUCAAACCACAAACCGAGAGAUCAUGACCUGAGCCAAAAUCAGGAGUCAGACACUUAACCAACGGAGUCACCCAACCACCCUGGUAAUUGUGUAUUUAUUAGAAUUAAGUUUUCUCUUUUCAGAAAGCCACAACUUGUACAGAAGCAUAAAGUUUCCUACCUAAGGAGUCUUAACUUUCUCUUUAGGGGCGGAAACAUUCAUUUCACUGGAAUUUUUACUAAGGAGCUUUAUAAAGCUCAGUACUUCAUUGCCCAUAUCAUCCUCAAUCCUCAGGUAGUACAGAAAAGACAAAUAGAAUUCUCAACUCUAGCUCAAUUUUUAGAAACUCUGGAACUUGGCCUGAACAGUUGCCUUUUAUCUUAAUGACAAUGAAAUCAAACUCCAUAGCCAGCCCAUUGACUCUCAAUCUAUUAACUAAUAGGCAUCUUAUCUGCCUGUCCCCAGUUAUAGACUUUUCCUUAUUACAGGCUGAAAUAGCCAAAUAUUGCAAAUAUUUGUAUAUAUAUAUACACAAAUAUUGUGUGUGUGUAUAUAUAUAUAUGUAUAUAGCCACCCAUUAUAACCAUUUUAAGGGUACAGUUCAGUGGUAUUAAAUACAUUGACAUUGUUGUAUAAACCAUCACUACCAUCCAUCUCCAGAACUUUUCUCACCUUGCAAAAUUGAAACUGUUUUCCUUAAACACUAAAUGCCCAUUUUCUGCUCCCCGCAGACCCUAGCCACCACCUUUCUACUGUCUCUAUGAGUUUGACUAUUCUAGAUAUCUCCUAUAAGUGGAAUCAAUGCACAACUUUGUCAACAGAUGUGAGUAGCUUUUUCAGAACAUCCUUCAAAACAACUCUUUUCACUAUUUAAAAUGAGAGGUGUUAUCUCUUUAAAGAACCAUGAGAAAAAGACUGCCCUGACCUCACUGAAAAGGACCUUACAGGCACUAUGAACAACUAACACAGUCGUCCCACUCUGGGGUGUUGAUCCUUGCUUUCUUACUUGUUAAUGAAGGAGAAAGAAAUCCUUCUUGAUCAGAAAGACUGUUUGUUCCUGCUACAGACCUCAACCUGAGAAUUCUUAGGAGUACUCCAGAAGCAGAAAACCAUAGGAAAGAGCUUCCACUCAAGACUAUCAGAACAAACUAACGACUAGAGGCAGGAGACAGCCCAAGCGCCAUGAACAUGGGAAGUCAGGGAACCAGCACUGCACAUUGUCACACUUCAAUCUGUAUGCACGUUUUCUUAAUUUUCCUACAUAUUUUCCUUUACCUUUUUUGGGUUAAGGUUCUGGAUUGUUGACAGCUUGUUACCUCUUAACUAUGGUACCGAUAAGCAAUGGUUCGCUUAUAGAUAGAAUCAACUGAUGAGAAUUGUUGAAUUGUCGGGAAUCUUAUUAAAUUCUUCAAAGCUUGAAA